Molecule: ribosomal RNA, 253 nt
Filed under: uncultured bacterium
Lineage: Bacteria
Description: partial 16S ribosomal RNA
Rfam family: Bacterial small subunit ribosomal RNA
Source: RNAcentral
UACGUAGGGUGCAAGCGUUAAUCGGAAUUACUGGGCGUAAAGCGUGCGCAGGCGGUGAUGUAAGACAGGUGUGAAAUCCCCGGGCUUAACCUGGGAAUGGCAUUUGUGACUGCACGGCUAGAGUGUGUCAGAGGGGGGUAGAAUUCCACGUGUAGCAGUGAAAUGCGUAGAGAUGUGGAGGAAUACCGAUGGCGAAGGCAGCCCCCUGGGAUAACACUGACGCUCAUGCACGAAAGCGUGGGGAGCAAACAGG